GAUUCUAUAUUUUAUUAAAAAUAUUAAAUUGCAAGUUUAAAGAUAAUAUAAUUUAUGUUUAGAAUUU
Molecule: transfer RNA, 67 nt
Filed under: Darthula hardwickii
Lineage: Eukaryota; Metazoa; Arthropoda; Insecta; Hemiptera; Aetalionidae
Description: tRNA-Cys
Source: RNAcentral